Molecule: ribosomal RNA, 443 nt
Filed under: uncultured bacterium
Lineage: Bacteria
Description: bacterial SSU rRNA
Rfam family: Bacterial small subunit ribosomal RNA
Source: RNAcentral
UGAGUGAUGAAGGUCUUCGGAUCGUAAAGCUCUGUGGGAAGGGACGAAAAAGCCUAACCUAAUACGUUAGGUCUUGACGGUACCUUCUUAGCAAGCACCGGCUAACUCCGUGCCAGCAGCCGCGGUAAUACGGAGGGUGCAAACGUUGCUCGGAAUUAUUGGGCGUAAAGCGCACGUAGGCGGUCCGCUAAGUCGGAUGUGAAAGCCCUCGGCUUAACCGAGGAAGUGCAUCCGAAACUGACGGGCUAGAGUACGGAAGAGGGUUUCGGAAUUCCCGGUGUAGAGGUGAAAUUCGUAGAUAUCGGGAGGAACACCAGUGGCGAAGGCGGAAACCUGGGCCGAUACUGACGCUGAGGUGCGAAAAGCGUGGGGAGCAAACAGGAUUUAGAUACCCCUGGUAGUCCACGCCGUAAACGAUGAGCGCUAGGUGUUGGGGGUAGUUG